GGGUCCGUAGCUGAGAGGUUUUAGCGCCCGACUGUUAAUCGGGACCACGUGGGUUCGAAUCCCACCGGGCCCU
Molecule: transfer RNA, 73 nt
Filed under: Deltaproteobacteria bacterium
Lineage: Bacteria; Pseudomonadati; Myxococcota; Myxococcia
Description: tRNA-Asn
Rfam family: tRNA
About the family: Transfer RNA (tRNA) molecules are approximately 80 nucleotides in length. Their secondary structure includes four short double-helical elements and three loops (D, anti-codon, and T loops).
Source: RNAcentral